Molecule: non-coding RNA, 29 nt
Filed under: Homo sapiens (human)
Lineage: Eukaryota; Metazoa; Chordata; Mammalia; Primates; Hominidae
Source: RNAcentral
UGCUUUACAUUUGGUGUACUUUCGGGCGU